RNAcentral lists this ribosomal RNA (176 nucleotides) under uncultured bacterium. RNAcentral describes it as "partial 16S ribosomal RNA". It matches the Rfam family "Bacterial small subunit ribosomal RNA", at positions 335 to 526 of the family's 1533-position model. The record is from RNAcentral.
ACUCCUACGGGAGGCAGCAGUGAGGAAUUUUCCGCAAUGGGCGAAAGCCUGACGGAGCAAUGCCGCGUGAAGGAUGAAGGCCUAUGGGUUGUAAACUUCUUUUCUCAGAGAAGAAAUUUUGACGGUAUCUGAGGAAUAAGCAUCGGCUAACUCUGUGCCAGCAGCCGCGGUAAUAC